RNAcentral lists this long non-coding RNA (5272 nucleotides) under Sus scrofa (pig). Its description in RNAcentral is "lncRNA (ENSSSCG00060060966.1)". The record is from RNAcentral. Lineage: Eukaryota; Metazoa; Chordata; Mammalia; Artiodactyla; Suidae.
AGCCCGCUUGGAACUCCCGCAGUGCACAGACACGGAUCUCUGGGUUCCUGGCUAUUAACUGCAUGCACGGCCCCCUGGCCAGACCCGAGGUUCCAAAGACUGGGCAAGGAAGCUCCUAGCGCGGCACGAAGUUGUGCCCGUUACCCCUCUGGGCCCCAGGCCGGCGGGCGCAGAAAUUAACUCGGCCAGAAAAUGAGGUUCAGAGAAGUGAAAUGACCCACAAGGUCACAGAUCUAGGAUGGGUCAGACUUUGAUUCCACAAGCUCUGCUUUUUCCACGGUUCCACACAGUUACCAUGGCUUCACACACGCAAAAGCGCCAUCCUGCCACCUUCCUAUCAGGCACAGAUGAGCCCUCCACUGCGUGAAGGUUUCCAGUUUCCUUAGAUCCCUAGAGCAACCUGCCUUGAAGUCUUAGGACAGCAUGCUUUUAUUCAGUGUUUUUGCAGGAACACUUUCUUUGUCCAUAAACAAAGCCUUGAUAACCAAGAGAGUAGCACAGUAUUCUCCAUUGAGCUUUACCAUCCUAAAUUCCUAGGGGAACAUGCCUCAAACAACGUCCCAGACUUCUCCCCACAGAGAUUCUUUUUACCCUGGCGAAGGCCUGGGAUUUUGCAUUACUCAUCCUAGUGGCCCAGGGCUGGGAGAUAUCGAUUUAACAUAUUAAAAGUGGUCAACUGUGAAUGAUGUGCCCUAUAAUUGUGGGUACCCUGAGUACUAUUUUUCCGAAAACACAAACUAAAAGAGCUACCCUAGGUUCUUGGCUUCCUGAUUAUUUGUAAAAGAAUCAAGCUUCAGAGGAAAGGAUCUUCUCAACUUCAUUUUAGCACUUUUUCCAUAAGAAGACGUGGCCUGGGACAUCUGUAGUGCCUUUGGCAGACUCAUGCUUGCCCUUCUCUUGGAGAGGAACGGCUAGACCCUACAGUGACUUUAUGUUUAACCAUUUGAGGAACUCCCAGACUGUCUUCCACAGUGGCUGCACCAUUUUAAAAUCCUACCACCAACAGUUUCAGUUGUCAGGCUGGCUUGGUGUUCGCCUACAGAGGUACCAAACAGUACGACUUUCAUCGUUAGAAGAAAAAGAAACUUGGGGGCGAGCAGCCGCCGCUGUACCCACAAUUCCUGCACCAAGACCACGUCCUGUGAGAAGCAGCUCAGACCCUGUGCAUUCGCAUUACAGUAAGUCACACACUACACACUCGGGAGAGAAGCAAGUGUCACCUACAUCCAAUGUUUAAUAGCCUGAUUUCAAAGCUUGGCCUGCCAUUUAUGUGUGUGACCUUGGGCAGUCGCUCGGAGCCUCCUGUCUAAAGCACGUCAUAACAGUGCCAGCAGCCAGUGGUCUGGUGGCUGUGGGCAGUGCAGUGGUGGACCCCUUAGCAGUAAUUUGAUGCGCUUACACUGACCCCAGGGUUGACCCUGGCAGAGUUCACACGAAACCUUUAACUAAACUUGGUACGUUUUCGCUCCAUUCUAUGGUACCCACCCCGCAGACGGGAACCUGGUUGACAGAGGUAAAUGCACAGCUGGAGGAUGAACUGCCCCCCCACCCAGUGCCAUUGCCAGGAAGGUGGUCUGUGACAGGGCUGGUUAACGUGUCAGUAGAGGCUCUUGGAGGGCACAGUGUGGCUUUCUUCCUUCCAUCCACUCCACUGCGGAGGGCUGGGAGGGCUCAGCAAUGCCGGGGACACUUGGGACUUAGAAGUAGAUUCCAGAUCUGUUUUAAGAUAACACUAAUCAGUGCCCUCCUUUGAUUACUGUUUCAUUUAUCUCGCCAAAAUAAAAUAACCUGGCUAAAGACAUGUAUUUAAGUACCUGCUCCUAUAUAUUAAAUAAUAACAAUGAAAAAACCUACACCUCAAGACGAAAGAGAAAAGGCGUGUUCUGAAAGCGCAGAUUACUCAGGAGAGCAGCAGUACCUGUGAGCUGCUGAGCAUCAGCAGUAAGGAGAUGCAGUCCCAGCAUCUCAGCAGGCUCCCGGCAUCUUCGCUCUCUCUCAGAAGGCUGUACAGGGAAGGACCUGGAGAGUACCACAUGCGCUAGGCGUGCUGGAUUGAGGAGUUUGGAAGAAGAAAGGCAGAAAAUGCCGGAUUCUCCAAGAACAGCAAUUCCGCUGCGUCCAGGGGUCCCGUUGCCCAUCAGGCAUCAGUGAAGGGAAGACCAGCCGGAUGGUGUGUUCUCCUUGCCGAUGUUGUCUGAAAUAGUGGAAAUAAGUGCACCUCUGCUCUCCCCGCAGAAGGAAGGGGAGUGGGGUGGAGCCUCCUGUCCCUGGAAGCAGAGACGCAACCCACGCGACCCCGAGGAAGAAGCCCUCCGGGCCAUGUCUGUGACGUAAAACACGGGAUGUUGUCCCCAGUGCAAACAUGCAAGAAACACACCCCGUGGGGAGCUGUGCUACGGUGAGGUGCACCUGCCACCUCAUCCUGGUGUUCACAGUGUUUGGCGGCUUUCAGCCAAGAUGCCCUUAACUAGGAGCAGCCCUGGAAUCUGGCAUCUCCACGUCCACCCCAGAAGGAUGGCCUUUCUACCAUUCUGUGACAGGCUUUCUCUAAAAUAAGCAUCAAGUAAGCCCCGCCCCAAACCAGCCAUUUUGCCCUAUUCCACCGGCGUGAUAAUGAAUUGGCCCAAACAGACCUUCUCCCAACAAUCCAUUAUCACGCCGGUGGAAGACCUUCUCCUUACUCCCAGAGUAGGUCUGAGGAAUGUUUAAAGGUCCAAGAGACACAGACUGUCUGUCAGAUUUUGGCACAAGUGGUGACAGCGCAGGUCAGUAGGGACGAAAGAGUCACUAAAACUGAGAGAUGACAGGGCUAGAGACACUGUUUAAAACCACCACAGGCAGGGAGGGAGGGAGAGGGGAUGGUGGGUGGGGGCCAAGUCCCCCAAGGAAGCGGGUGGUCAGAGGGCCUGCACCCCACCCCAUAGGAGAUGAUAAUGUGGGGGGCUGUGCAGGGGAAGGCCUGCCAGGAGAAGGGGUGUCGCCCAGAGCCCGCUGAGUGCAGGGCUUUCUCUCUGCUGACUUGCUCUAAGGCAGCCCAGGUAGAGCUAGUCCCGCCCAGGGUACCAAGCACAGCCAGGAAUAAACCAGAAAUCUGGAAGCCUGGCCUACCUCUGCCAGAAAUCUCAUAGCGGGCAACCUGAAAGCUCAGGAACAGUGCUUUCCUUCCAGUUAGUCUGUAAAUGGUGCCCUUUACAAGUGCCCUUUGAUGUGAUCUGUGGACAUUACAAGCGGGUUGAUGUCCUGGCCUUCCCAGCUUUGUUCUCUGCAGCUCACCUGUAUAGGCUCACUGGUUCAGCUCAAACACCCAGGAAGAUGGGCCCUUCUCUCUACUCAAGCCUGUGAAAUCAGGCCUUUAAGUAUAUUUGAAUUUUGAUAUUUAUGACAACAGUAUAAGCUUAUGAUUAUGAGAGGAAAACCAGUGUGAUUGUCACUGAGCAAUUCAGUAAAAUGAUUCUUUUUUUGGCCACAACCACGGCACGCAAAAAUUCUGGGUCUUGGAUCGAACCUUUGCCACAGCAGUGACAACACCCAAUCCUUAACUGCUAGGCCACCAGAGAACUCCCAAUAGAACAACUCCAGAUGUGAAAAGCGUUCCCAACUGACAAGGAGCAGGGCCACUUAGAAAAGGAGAAAAAUGCUCACAGUCCCCAAAUCAGUUCUGUAUAUAGGCUGUGUUUUACUUUUAACAAUAUACCAGGAGUUCCUCCUGUGGUUCAGCAGUAACAAGCCCAACUGGGAUCCAUGAGGACUUGGGUUCAAUCCCUGGCCUCGCUCAGUGGGUUAAGGAUCCAGCGUUGCCGUGAGCUGUGGCAUAGGUCACAGAUGCAGCUCAGAUCCUGCAUUGCUGUGGUUGUGAUGGAGGCUGGCAAGUGCAGCUCCUAUUGGACCCCUAGCCUGGGAACUUCCAUAUGCCGUGGGUGCAGCCUUAAAAAGCAAAAAACAAAACAAAACAAAACAAUACACCAAAAAAUAUUUUCCUGCUUUGGGAAGGUCUUCUUUAAUGAUGCUGAGAAGGAGAAUAAUAUAAUCUACAACUUAAAUUAAGAAGUUAGAGCAAUUAAGCUUCAUCUAGUGAAAGCCAAGCAUGUCUUUGCAAUAAAGAGGUAGCUAAGCACAGGAGAUACUUCGGUGGACAUAAAGGUCUUAACCUAGCUACGUAUCUUAAUUAUUUUUCUGAUGGAUCUAGGAAUUUUUCUUUUAAUAUGCCUGGUUCCUAGUAGAAAUAAAUAAGUUGGCUGGCCUGCAAGAUGGCUUUUUUUAAUCAGAAUGGACAAAGUCUUGUGCUUUGUGCUGUGUGCUUAAACAUAAUGAUAGAUAUUCAAAGUUCAAAUUCUCAGUGGAUCUCUGGACCGAAAGUUUUGUAAGAAAUCAAGGAAGAAGGACCACCACGCGCUAUAUCUAUUUCCUCUUGAAAAACAAUUUCUAGAUAUUGCCAGAGACCAAAGUUGUGAGUCAAAAUGUUUCUGUCGGUUUCCAUGUGGACACGGCCUGGUGCCCAUCACACCACACACGCUACCUGGAACUCAGACCUGGAAACUUGAAGAAUUGUCUGGAUUCCCUGGCAACAGGGCCUCAGGCAUCUCCUAGCCAGUGGGUCCUACGAAAGAGAUAAGCCACUUCAGCAAACUUGUCUCUCUCCAGCACUGGAAUGCAUCCAAAGGAAACACGAAAGACUCUGACAUCAGAAAACACCUGUUGACUUUGGAGCGCCCGUAUCAACAGCAGUAAAACACAGAGCAGAUGUGAGCCUGCUCUGGGGGGGUACGUGGAAUGUCAAGUAUGAAAAAAAUCAAGAGGAAAGGGAUAGGCACUUCCAAAUUCUUCUGCCUCUCUGUAAACAUGCCAUUAAUUAGGUUAAUUUUCUUAAAAUGUGGCCUCAAAAACCAUUCUAAGGUGGUCGCUUCAGGUUUCCAUUCCUAUAAAUCAAAGUCUGGUGAUAGAUGGUUUAAACGAUCAAUAGGUGUAUAAUCUCAACUCUAACUUUGGCCUAAAAUGUUCAUAGUAACUAUCCGUUCCUUUUAAAAAUUUCUUUACAAUUAAUGUAUAGUUGAUUUAAAAUGUUGUGCCGGUUUCUUUGGGAGUUCCCAUUGGGCUCAGCGGUAAUGAAUCUGACUAGUAUCCCUGAGGAUGCAGGUCCCACUCCUGGCCUCAGUCAGUGGGUUAAGGAUCCUAUGUUGCUGUGGCUGUGGCUUUUGCUCCUAUUCAACGCCUAGCCUGGGAACUUCCAUAUGCUCUACCUGCAGCCCUAAAAAACAAAAAAUAAAAACAAAAA